CUUAAACAAACAAAGAGCACUAGGUGAAUGCCUAGGCACCAAGAGGCGACGAAGGACGUGACAAGCUGCGAAAAGCUACGGAGAGGAGCAAAUAUCCAUUGACCCGUAGAUAUCCGAAUGGGGAAACCCACCGUAAGGUAUCCUAUAGCCAAUUCAUAACUAUAGGAAGCGAACCAGGUGAACUGAAACAUCUAAGUAACCUGAGGAAAAGAAAGAAAACUCGAUUCCCUGAGUAGCGGCGAGCGAACGGGGAAGAGCCCAAAGUGUAAAAAGAGACAAUAGCCAGCCAAAUAAUCUGGGAAGAUUAACCAAAGAAGGUAAGAGUCCUGUAGGCGAAAGCGAAGAUAUCCGACACAAAAGAGUACCACGGAACACGAGAAAUUCAGUGGGAAGAUGGGGGGACCACCCCCUAAGGCUAAAUACUACUUGGUGACCGAUAGCGAACAAGUACCGUGAGGGAAAGGUGAAAAGAACCCCGAGAGGGGAGUGAAAUAGAAUCUGAAACCUAGUGUUUACAAGCAGCGAAAGUGGCAUACGCCACGAUCGUGUACUUUUUGUAGAACGGGCCAGCGAGUUACGAUUACUAGCAAGGUUAAGCAUUACAGAUGUGGAGCCGAAGCGAAAGCGAGUCUAAAUAGGGCGAAAGUUAGUGGUUGUAGACCCGAAACCGUGUGAUCUAUCCAUGAGCAGAGUGAAGUUGAAGUAAAAUUCAAUGGAGGCUCGAACCGGGUAACGUUUAAAAGUUAUCGGAUGACUUGUGGAUAGGGGUGAAAAGCCAAACGAACACGGAGAUAGCUGGUUCUCCUCGAAAUAGCUUUAGGGCUAGCCUCUAGUAAGACAUGAAAAGGGGGUAGAGCACUGAUUGGUUGCGGGGCAUGCAUAUGUUACCAAAACCUAUCAAACUCCGAAUACCAUAUCAUGCACUAGGGAGUCAGACUAUGUGGGAUGAGCUUCAUAGUCGAAAGGGAAAGAGCCCAGACCAUCAGCUAAGGUCCCAAAAUUAUAGUUAAGUGGGAAAGGAUGUGGAGUUACUGAGACAACUAGGAUGUUGGCUUAGAAGCAGCCACUCAUUUAAAGAGUGCGUAAUAGCUCACUAGUCAAGUGACUCUGCGCCGAAGAUAACCGGGGCUAAACUAUAUACCGAAGCUAUGGAACGAAUAACGUUGGUAGAGGAGCAAUGUAUGAAGGACGAAGCAUAAGCCGUAAGGCAGUGUGGACAUCAUACAAGAGAGAAUGCUGGCAUGAGUAGCGAGAGGUGAGUGAGAAUCUCACCCGUCGAAAACCCAAGGAUUCCUGAGCAAGGCUCGUCCACUCAGGGUAAGUCGGGACCUAAGGCGAGGCUGAAAAGCGUAGUCGAUGGACAACAGGUUGAAAUUCCUGUACCGAUACAAUCGUUAAAGGAAGUGGGGACGCAGGAGGAUAAUAAGAGCGCCCAGUUGGUGAGGCGUGCAAGCGCAAAGUCUGGAGAGUAGGCAAAUCCGCUCUCCGAAAAGGAUGAAGCGUAAUGCGGAUCGAAAACAAGUAGAGAAGCUUAUGACUCCACACUGCCAAGAAAAGCCACUACAAGAGAAGUAUCGCCCGUACCGUAAACCGACACAGGUAGGUGAGGAGAGAAUCCUAAGACGAGCGGAAAAACCUUUGUUAAGGAACUCGGCAAAAUGACCCCGUAACUUCGGGAGAAGGGGAGCCCCUGUAACAGGGGGCCGCAGUGAAAAGGCCCAAGCGACUGUUUACCAAAAACACAAGUUUCUGCUAAGUCGAAAGACGAAGUAUAGGAGCUGACACCUGCCCGGUGCUGGAAGGUUAAGGGAAAAAGUUAGCGUAAGGUAGCGAAAUUCCUUGUCGGGUAAGUUCCGACCCGCACGAAAGGUGUAACGAUUUGGGCACUGUCUCAACAAAGGAUCCGGUGAAAUUGUAGUAGCGGUAAAGAUGCCGCUUACCCACGACAGGACGGAAAGACCCCGUGGAGCUUUACUGUAGGCUGAGAUUGAAUUUUGGGAUUAAAUGUACAGAAUAGGUGGGAGGCAGAGAAUUAGGUACGCCAGUAUCUAAGGAGCCACCGUUGGGAUACCACUCUUUUAAUGCUAGAAUUCUAACCUAACCCCAUGAAUCUGGGGAAGGGACACUCUCAGUUGGACAGUUUGACUGGGGCGGUCGCCUCCGAAAGAGUAACGGAGGCGUUCAAAGGUUCCCUCAGCACGGAUGGAAAUCGUGCGCAGAGUAUAAAGGCAGAAGGGAGCUUAACUGCGAGACCAACAAGUCGAGCAGAUGCGAAAGCAGGACUUAGUGAUCCGGUGGUACCGAGUGGAAGGGCCAUCGCUCAACGGAUAAAAGCUACCCCGGGGAUAACAGGCUUAUCUCCCCCAAGAGUCCACAUC
Molecule: ribosomal RNA, 2378 nt
Filed under: Actinomyces urogenitalis
Lineage: Bacteria; Bacillati; Actinomycetota; Actinomycetes; Actinomycetales; Actinomycetaceae
Description: partial 23S ribosomal RNA
Rfam family: Bacterial large subunit ribosomal RNA
Source: RNAcentral